Molecule: ribosomal RNA, 422 nt
Filed under: uncultured bacterium
Lineage: Bacteria
Description: partial 16S ribosomal RNA
Rfam family: Bacterial small subunit ribosomal RNA
Source: RNAcentral
AAUCUUGCGCAAUGGGGGAAACCCUGACGCAGCGACGCCGCGUGAGUGAUGAAGGUCUUCGGAUCGUAAAUCCCUCUCGGCCGGGAAGAAUGGCCUCGCGGCGAAUUCCUACGGGCAUUGCCGGUACCGACAGAAGAAGCACCGGCUAGCUCUGUGCCAGCAGCCGCGGUAAUACAGAGGGUGCAAGCGUUGUUCGGAAUUACUGGGUGUAAAGCGCGCGCAGGCGGGAUGGCAAGUCGGAUGUGAAAGCCCUUGGCUCAACCAAGGAAGUGCAUUCGAAACUGCUGUUCUUGAGUGGCGGGGAGGGUGGCGGAAUUCCCGGUGUAGAGGUGAAAUUCGUAGAUAUCGAGAGGAACACCAGUGGCGAAGGCGGCCACCUGGACGAACACUGACGCUGAGGCGCGAAAGCGUGGGGAGCAAAC